GACGAACGCUGGCGGCGUGCUUAACACAUGCAAGUCGAACGGAAAGGCCCUGCUUUUGUGGGGUGCUCGAGUGGCGAACGGGUGAGUAACACGUGAGUAACCUGCCCUUGACUUUGGGAUAACUUCAGGAAACUGGGGCUAAUACCGGAUAGGAGCUCCUGCUGCAGGGGGGGGGUUGGAAAGUUUCGGCGGUUGGGGAUGGACUCGCGGCUUAUCAGCUUGUUGGUGGGGUAGUGGCUUACCAAGGCUUUGACGGGUAGCCGGCCUGAGAGGGUGACCGGCCACAUUGGGACUGAGAUACGGCCCAGACUCCUACGGGAGGCAGCAGUGGGGAAUAUUGCACAAUGGGCGGAAGCGUGAUGCAGAAACGCCGCGUGCGGGAUGACGGCCUUCGGGUUGUAAACCGCUUUCGCCUGUGACGAAGCGUGAGUGACGGUAAUGGGUAAAGAAGCACCGGCUAACUACGUG
RNAcentral lists this ribosomal RNA (468 nucleotides) under uncultured bacterium. RNAcentral describes it as "partial 16S ribosomal RNA". It matches the Rfam family "Bacterial small subunit ribosomal RNA", at positions 28 to 507 of the family's 1533-position model. The record is from RNAcentral.